This 917-nucleotide ribosomal RNA is filed under the name uncultured Flavobacterium sp. Its description in RNAcentral is "bacterial SSU rRNA". It matches the Rfam family "Bacterial small subunit ribosomal RNA", at positions 348 to 1270 of the family's 1533-position model. The record is from RNAcentral. Lineage: Bacteria; Pseudomonadati; Bacteroidota; Flavobacteriia; Flavobacteriales; Flavobacteriaceae.
AUAGCAGUGAGGAAUAUUGGACAAUGGGCGCAAGCCUGAUCCAGCCAUGCCGCGUGCAGGAUGACGGUCCUAUGGAUUGUAAACUGCUUUUAUACAGGAAGAAACACUACUUCGUGAAGUAGCUUGACGGUACUGUAAGAAUAAGGAUCGGCUAACUCCGUGCCAGCAGCCGCGGUAAUACGGAGGAUCCAAGCGUUAUCCGGAAUCAUUGGGUUUAAAGGGUCCGUAGGCGGUCAGAUAAGUCAGUGGUGAAAGCCCAUCGCUCAACGGUGGAACGGCCAUUGAUACUGUCUGACUUGAAUUAUUAGGAAGUAACUAGAAUAUGUAGUGUAGCGGUGAAAUGCUUAGAGAUUACAUGGAAUACCAAUUGCGAAGGCAGGUUACUACUAAUUGAUUGACGCUGAUGGACGAAAGCGUGGGUAGCGAACAGGAUUAGAUACCCUGGUAGUCCACGCCGUAAACGAUGGAUACUAGCUGUUGGGAGCAAUCUCAGUGGCUAAGCGAAAGUGAUAAGUAUCCCACCUGGGGAGUACGUUCGCAAGAAUGAAACUCAAAGGAAUUGACGGGGGCCCGCACAAGCGGUGGAGCAUGUGGUUUAAUUCGAUGAUACGCGAGGAACCUUACCAAGGCUUAAAUGUAGAUGACCGGUUUGGAAACAGACUUUUCGCAAGACAAUUUACAAGGUGCUGCAUGGUUGUCGUCAGCUCGUGCCGUGAGGUGUCAGGUUAAGUCCUAUAACGAGCGCAACCCCUGUUGUUAGUUGCCAGCGAGUCAUGUCGGGAACUCUAACAAGACUGCCAGUGCAAACUGUGAGGGAAGGUGGGGAUGACGUCAAAUCAUCACGGCCCUUACGCCUUGGGCUACACACGUGCUACAAUGGCCGGUACAGAGAGCAGCCACUGGGCGACCAGGAGCGA